This is a long non-coding RNA of Leptinotarsa decemlineata (Colorado potato beetle), 2732 nucleotides long. Lineage: Eukaryota; Metazoa; Arthropoda; Insecta; Coleoptera; Chrysomelidae. The record is from RefSeq and is a predicted model, not a curated record.
AUAUACACAUUCAUUAUGUAGUAAACAGAAGCUCAUUUUGUGAGCAGCUUUCUAGUUGGAUAAGACGCAUAGUGGAUAUCCUGAAAUUCAAGUUCAGUCGUGAAGAGAAAAUCAAAUAACAAAAUAGCAGAUUCACCUGUAGAGACGCCGCAGAGGAUAUUGACAGCCAACAUCGUGAGAAGCAUUUAGAAAAUACGCUGUCGUGUUGUUUCAUUUGAAAUUGUACGAAAUUAAGAACACUACAUCAACGUGUGCAGUAUAACUUCAGAAUCAUCUCAACAACUACAUCCAAAAUCGUCUUAGCAAUCUUUUCCACAACGAGUUUCAGAUCACAGCAGCUUCCAACAGUUUCCACAGAACGAAAUUCAAUUCUCUGCAGCUUCCAGAAUAUACUCAUCACACUAAAAAUUUCAUUUGUGAACAAAAUAUCGGUGAGUCAUGUCAAUAAAUAAAAUCCAAAUGAUCGAUUUUCCAAAAACCAAGUCGGUAAUUGAUAAUUACAUUUUAGUCAUUAGAGACAAUUAUUCAGAGUAUAUUGCCAAACAAGCUAUACAAUUUAUCAAUAAACAUAUAAGAAAAUGUGUUUCAGCUAUGAAAAAAAUUAGAUUUUUGGUUGGGGAAAAAAAGAAAAUAAUUACAAAUUUGGGGAAUUGAAACGCUUCAAAGUGAUUAUCAAAAUGUUGAAUAAUAAACAUAUAGGCUCAGGUUUGAAACGACGAAGCACCAGGGUAAAGUGGCAAAUUGUUAAAACAAUAGUUUCAAUCAUAGAGUAACAACGGGGGUAAUCAUCAAUUCAACUCAUAAAGAUCCUAAAAAGUUUCUAGGCGAUGCUUUUUCAUUAUUCAUGCGUGAUAUUUCCAAAAUUUUAAAACAAAUGUCAUAUCUCAAAGUUAAUUUCACAUUAUCAGGGGAUUUUAUUAAAAAGUCGAAUGAUGGGGAAAUUGUUGAUCGUAAAUAUUUUCUUACACCAAAUGAAGUUAACGAUUCAGGUACGGACUUACUGCUUGGUACAAUGAAAACGCUGUGGAUGUUAUAUUGAAUUAAUUUGAAGAACAAUUGUCGGGGUGGGCUUUGAAUAAAAUUCUUUUGUUGGGAGUAGCAAUUAAUGAAUAUGUCAUUGGUAACGGUUCUUCUUUCAUUCCACUGCCGCAAGAAUUCGCAAGAAAGCAGGCAUGCAUUAAUGUAGGAAACGAUGACGAAAUGUGCUUCUUUUGGAGUGUUAUUAGCGCCUUGUAUCCUGUAGCAGUACAUUAUAAUAGAGUGUCAAAAUAUCCACACUAUUCUACAGUUUUGAAUACUAUAGAGCUGAAUACUUCAAUGGACUUAUAUCAAAUUUCCAAAUUUUGAAAACCUAACGAUAUUUUUGUUAAUAUUUACACUUUGGAAUUGAAUCAAGUGAAGGAAAAAUCAUUUUAUGCAGUAGUACCUGCCAGACUCACGACAACAAAACGAGACAGACAUGUUAAUUUGCUAUUAAUUCAAGACAAAUAUUUUCCAAAAUUGAACGAAUAUGAGGCUCCACCCAUUAAUGACGAUGACGAGACUGAAAUUGAAUUCCAUUAUUGUUGAAUCGAAGACAUCUCCCGAUUCUUAGGUAACCAACUGAACAAAAAAAAAAGACAGAAAAUUCAUUUGUGAUAGAUGCCUCAAUUAUUUUUCAAGUAAACAAAAAUUAAAUGAUCAUACUGUUUUGUGCGAAAAAGUGAAUGAUUGUAAAAUUUCCUUUCCUAUAUACGAGUAUGUGAAAUUUCGAAAUUAUUAUAAACAAAAAUGUUCGUUUAUAAUUUUUGCUAAUUUCGAGUCUCUGUUGGAAAAAUGUAACGGAAACAUAUCUAACAAAACUACAAAAUACCAGAAACAUAUACCUUUCAGUGCAGGCUACUACUUCGAGUGUUCCUAUAACGACAAUCUCUCUCAUUUCGAAAGCUAUCGAGGUGAGGACCGUAUGAAAUGGUUUGCCGACGAGUUGUCUGAUAUUGCAAAAUUUGUUGAAUCCAAAAUUAGGAACAUUGAGCUGAUGACAGUGCGUUUGAAUAAUAUCGGUGCUGCAAUGACUUAUCAUAUUUGCGAAAAUCCGUUCGCCCCCAAAGAUGUUAUCGUGUACGAUCACGAUCACUAUACGGGGGCGUUCCGCGGUUUUGCGCAUCAAGCCCCCUGUAAUGACAAUUUUCGAAAUUUAUUCGUGGUACUCAUUACUUUUCAUAAUCUUUCAGGAUACGACAGUCACUUCAUUAUCAGAGAUAUUGCAAAAAAAGGCUGUGUGAGCAUACUUCCCUCAAAUAAUAAGAAAUACAUUUCCUUUACACACAAGGAUGCUGAAACUGAAAUUAAAUUUCGAUUUAUAGAUUCUUUUCGAUUCAUAGAUUCUUUUCGAUUCAUGGGAACAUCGUUGGAUGAAUUAGUAUCCAAAUUGGAUCAAAAUGAUUUGGAAAUAAAAAAAAAGAAUUUAUUCAUUUAGAUGAUGAAAAAUUCGCUCUUCUCACCAGGAAGGGAGUAUUUCCAUAUGAUUAUAUAGAUAGCAUGGAAAAAUUGAACAUCACCGAGUUACCAUCACGAGAGGAAUUCGAAAUUAUAAAUUUGGUUUCGUAUGCGGACUUAUUUUUGAAAACAGAUAUUUUAUUACUGGCAGACGUUUUUGAAAAUUUUCGUCAAAAAAGCAUAGCAACCCAUAAGGGUUGGAUCCCGCAUGGUAUUAUACUAUGCCUGGGUACACGUGGGAUGCCAUGUUGAAG